Molecule: transfer RNA, 72 nt
Filed under: Candidatus Bathyarchaeota archaeon
Lineage: Archaea; Thermoproteati; Candidatus Bathyarchaeota
Description: tRNA-Gly
Rfam family: tRNA
About the family: Transfer RNA (tRNA) molecules are approximately 80 nucleotides in length.
Source: RNAcentral
GCGGCUAUGGUCUAGGGGUUAUGAUCUCAGCUUCCCAAGCUGAUGACUCGGGUUCGAUUCCCGGUAGCCGCA